UCGAACGGUAAGGCGCUUUCGGGCGUACACGAGUGGCGAACGGGUGAGUAACACGUGAGGAACGUGCCCUUGACUUUGGUAUAGCACUUGGAAACAGGUGGUAAUCCCGAAUAUUCAGUUUCCCGGGCAUCCGGGUUGUUGGAAAGCUUUUUGCGGUCAGGGAUCGUCUCGCGGCCUAUCAGCUUGUUGGUGGGGUAGUGGCCCACCAAGGCCUUGACGGGUAGCCGGCCUGAGAGGGCGACCGGCCACAUUGGGACUGAGAUACGGCCCAGACUCCUACGGGAGGCAGCAGUGGGGAAUAUUGCACAAUGGGCGGAAGCCUGAUGCAGCAACGCCGCGUGCGGGAUGACGGCCUUCGGGUUGUAAACCGCUUUCACCCAUGACGAAGCGCGAGUGACGGUAGUGGGGGAAGAAGCACCGGCCAACUACGUGCCAGCAGCCGCGGUGAUACGUAGGGUGCGAGCGUUGUCCGGAAUUAUUGGGCGUAAAGAGCUUGUAGGCGGUUGAUCGCGUCGAUAGUGAAAUCCCGGGGCUCAACCUCGGGCUUGCUGUCGAUACGGGUUGACUUGAGGAAGGUAGGGGAGAAUGGAACUCCCGGUGGAGCGGUGGAAUGCGCAGAUAUCGGGAAGAACACCGGUGGCGAAGGCGGUUCUCUGGACCUUUCCUGACGCUGAGAAGCGAAAGCGUGGGGAGCAAACAGGAUU
Molecule: ribosomal RNA, 704 nt
Filed under: uncultured Propionibacterium sp.
Lineage: Bacteria; Bacillati; Actinomycetota; Actinomycetes; Propionibacteriales; Propionibacteriaceae
Description: bacterial SSU rRNA
Rfam family: Bacterial small subunit ribosomal RNA
Source: RNAcentral